RNAcentral lists this ribosomal RNA (294 nucleotides) under uncultured Pseudomonas sp. RNAcentral describes it as "partial 16S ribosomal RNA". It matches the Rfam family "Bacterial small subunit ribosomal RNA", at positions 1089 to 1382 of the family's 1533-position model. The record is from RNAcentral. Lineage: Bacteria; Pseudomonadati; Pseudomonadota; Gammaproteobacteria; Pseudomonadales; Pseudomonadaceae.
GCAACGAGCGCAACCCUUGCCUUUAGUUGCCAGCAGUUCGGCUGGGCACUCUAAAGGGACUGCCGGUGUUAAACCGGAGGAAGGUGGGGAUGACGUCGAGUCAUCAUGGCCCUUACGGCCUGGGCUACACACGUGCUACAAUGGUCGGUACAAAGGGUUGCCAAGCCGCGAGGUGGAGCUAAUACCCAUAAAACCGAUCGUAGUCCGGAUCGCAGUCUGCAACUCGACUGCGUGAAGUCGGAAUCGCUAGUAAUCGUGAAUCAGAAUGUCACGGUGAAUACGUUCCCGGGCCUU